CCUACGGGAGGCAGCAGUAGGGAAUAUUGCUCAAUGGGGGAAACCCUGAACCAGCAACGCCGCGUGGAGGAUGAAGGUUUUCGGAUUGUAAACUCCUUUUGUUCGAGAAGAUAAUGACGGUAUCUAACGAAUAAGCCCCGGCUAACUACGUGCCAACAGCCGCGGUAAUACGGAGGGUGCAAGCGUUACUCGGAAUCACUGGGAGUAAAGAGCGCGUAGGCGGGCUAGCAAGUCGGCUGUGAAAUCCUAUGGAUUAACCAUAAAACGGCAUUUGAGACUGUUAUUCUGAAGUAGGGGGUAGGUAGGUGGAAUGCUGGGGGUAGGAGUAAAAUACGUAG
This 338-nucleotide ribosomal RNA is filed under the name uncultured bacterium. RNAcentral describes it as "partial 16S ribosomal RNA". It matches the Rfam family "Bacterial small subunit ribosomal RNA", at positions 338 to 693 of the family's 1533-position model. The record is from RNAcentral.